Molecule: long non-coding RNA, 166 nt
Organism: Sebastes umbrosus (honeycomb rockfish)
Lineage: Eukaryota; Metazoa; Chordata; Actinopteri; Perciformes; Sebastidae
Exons: 2
Source: RefSeq, a predicted model, not a curated record
UGCAUGCGCGCACACUACACACUGCAGAAGAGUUAGUUUAGCUCUGAGAAUAUCUAGUGAAUGUACAGUGGACGUUUGUGCAGAAAUAACUGCUGCAGCUCCUCCAGACCAACAGAGGUUUCUCGUGUCUUGUGAAGUGAGGGGGCUCCGCAGCGAGAAACGUUAU